UGAACGCUGGCGGCGUGCCUAAUACAUGCAAGUCGAGCGAACAGAUAAGGAGCUUGCUCCUUUGACGUUAGCGGCGGACGGGUGAGUAACACGUGGGUAACCUACCUAUAAGACUGGGAUAACUUCGGGAAACCGGAGCUAAUACCGGAUAACAUUUGGAACCGCAUGGUUCUAAAGUGAAAGAUGGUUUUGCUAUCACUUAUAGAUGGACCCGCGCCGUAUUAGCUAGUUGGUAAGGUAACGGCUUACCAAGGCAACGAUACGUAGCCGACCUGAGAGGGGGAGAGCCAACCAGGAAAGUGAGACAGGGCCCGAACGCCGAGGGGGGGAAGAGGGAGGGAAUAGUCCGAAAGGGGAGAGAGCCGGAGGGAACAACGCGGGGGGAGGGAGAAGGGUUUUGGUAUAGAAAAACUGUUUUAUGAGGAAAAAAAAAAGGUGAAAGUAACUGGGCACGUCUGGAGGGUACAAAAAAAAAAAACCACGGAAAACAACGUG
RNAcentral lists this ribosomal RNA (495 nucleotides) under uncultured bacterium. RNAcentral describes it as "partial 16S ribosomal RNA". It matches the Rfam family "Bacterial small subunit ribosomal RNA", at positions 30 to 507 of the family's 1533-position model. The record is from RNAcentral.